Molecule: long non-coding RNA, 892 nt
Organism: Hydra vulgaris (swiftwater hydra)
Lineage: Eukaryota; Metazoa; Cnidaria; Hydrozoa; Anthoathecata; Hydridae
Source: RefSeq, a predicted model, not a curated record
CUGCACAACGUAUUAAUAGUAUAGUGAUUCAAUAGUUAAGUACAAUGGCCAAAAAAAGUAAAAUUUGUUCAAAAUGUGGGCAAGGUCCUUCCACUUUGUAUGACCCUGACUGUGAGAAGUGUCAGCUUAAAGAAGCUACAUUAUUUCUCGCAUCAAGAAUAGGCUCCACAUCUGAAGGAAUGGAUGAAAAUCUAUUGCUUCUGAAAACUCUAAUGAACAAAAUAAAAAGUAUUGAUGGUGUAACAAUUACACCAUCUACCCUAACUCCCAUAAAAAAUAAAAGUGUGAUUUCACAGUCAAAAUCACCACGUGAAGAACCUCAGGGUUUUUAUUACGAAUCUGAAGAUGGAGAUUGUAGUGAGGGUGAGAAAAGUUGUUUAGAUCUUGUGGAAAAUGAAGUUGUUUGUCCGACUCCUGUGCAGGAGAAGAAAAAGAUUUCAUCUCAAACAUUCCCUGAAAAUGAAAAAUUCAUGAAUGAAAAUUUCAUGAAUUCAUGAAAAAUGAAAACAUUCCCUGAAAAUGAAAAAAAUCAAACCCUGAAAAUGAAAGCGAUCAAGAGGAGGUAAAGAGUUCACGAAGUUCGUGUUAAAGUAAAUCAGAUGAAGAAAAUUGGGUUAAUGAGGAAGGCGAACACGAUUUUAAUGAAGAUGAAAGACAUGGAAAGGAAAAAAGCAGUUCGGAAUGAAAAACCUGACAGAGUUUUCAGAUGAAAAUGAACAAAUAAAUGAAGAGAUCGAUCAGGAAUUUCAAAAUAGUAAAGAACUGCAAAAUAUAAAAGGUGCACGUACUGUUUUCAAUUCGCUUUAAUCGGGACCACCGAACUUUUAUCCGGAUGAGACAUUCAAGUCUUCUUUUCGCAAAUAAAAUAGCAAAAAAGGUUGUUUCAAAGCGG